RNAcentral lists this ribosomal RNA (465 nucleotides) under uncultured Klebsiella sp. Its description in RNAcentral is "bacterial SSU rRNA". It matches the Rfam family "Bacterial small subunit ribosomal RNA", at positions 338 to 795 of the family's 1533-position model. Lineage: Bacteria; Pseudomonadati; Pseudomonadota; Gammaproteobacteria; Enterobacterales; Enterobacteriaceae. The record is from RNAcentral.
CCUACGGGAGGCUGCAGUGGGGAAUAUUGCACAAUGGGCGCAAGCCUGAUGCAGCCAUGCCGCGUGUGUGAAGAAGGCCUUCGGGUUGUAAAGCACUUUCAGCGGGGAGGAAGGCGGUGAGGUUAAUAACCUCAUCGAUUGACGUUACCCGCAGAAGAAGCACCGGCUAACUCCGUGCCAGCAGCCGCGGUAAUACGGAGGGUGCAAGCGUUAAUCGGAAUUACUGGGCGUAAAGCGCACGCAGGCGGUCUGUCAAGUCGGAUGUGAAAUCCCCGGGCUCAACCUGGGAACUGCAUUCGAAACUGGCAGGCUAGAGUCUUGUAAAGGGGGGUAGAAUUCCAGGUGUAGCGGUGAAAUGCGUAGAGAUCUGGAGGAAUACCGGUGGCGAAGGCGGCCCCCUGGACAAAGACUGACGCUCAGGUGCGAAAGCGUGGGGAGCAAACAGGAUUAGAUACCCUAGUAGUC